Molecule: ribosomal RNA, 467 nt
Filed under: uncultured bacterium
Lineage: Bacteria
Description: partial 16S ribosomal RNA
Rfam family: Bacterial small subunit ribosomal RNA
Source: RNAcentral
GACGAACGCUGGCGGCGUGCUUAACACAUGCAAGUCGAACGAUGACGACCGAGCUUGCUCGGUCUGAUUAGUGGCGAACGGGUGAGUAACACGUGAGCAACCUGCCCUUCCCUCUGGGAUAACCUCGGGAAAUCGGGGCUAAUACCGGAUAUGAGCUCCUGUCGCAUGGCGGGUUUUGGAAAGUUUUUCGGUGAAGGAUGGGCUCGCGGCCUAUCAGUUUGUUGGUGAGGUAGUGGCUCACCAAGGCGAUGACGGGUAGCCGGCCUGAGAGGGCGACCGGCCACACUGGGACUGAGACACGGCCCAGACUCCUACGGGAGGCAGCAGUGGGGAAUAUUGCACAAUGGGCGAAAGCCUGAUGCAGCGACGCCGCGUGAGGGAUGACGGCCUUCGGGUUGUAAACCUCUUUCAGCAGGGAAGAAGCGAAAGUGACGGUACCUGCAGAAGAAGCGCCGGCUAACUACGUG